CUCAGUUCAGGCCAGCCUGAUACUCUCACCAAUUAUUACCCCAACUGCUCGGUUUCAAGUUUCCCCACUUUCCUCCAGCUCACAGAUCUGCCUCUCCUGGCUCCUGCUGCCCCACAUAUUGAUGCAUAUUAUCAUCUUACCCUGGGCUUCACUGGAUCAUUGCGCUCCUCUGUGUCACCAGGGUGGACAGGGAGGUCGUGUGGCUCGUCCUGCUUGGUCGUCCUCGUGGAUCCACAGUCUUUACAUAUAUUAUCAUUUGUAUCAGAUAUUCUGUCAAUGCAACUUGUAAACUGUGAUUUUUGUUGAUCUGUUCUGUACAUGCGACAUCUAUUACAUGUCUGUCCGUCCUGGGAGAGGGAUCCCUCCUCUGUG
Acanthopagrus latus (yellowfin seabream) is the source of this 372-nucleotide long non-coding RNA. RefSeq lists it as uncharacterized. Lineage: Eukaryota; Metazoa; Chordata; Actinopteri; Spariformes; Sparidae. The transcript is spliced from 3 exons. The record is from RefSeq and is a predicted model, not a curated record.